UACGUAGGGUGCGAGCGUUAAUCGGAAUUACUGGGCGUAAAGCGUGCGCAGGCGGUUCGUUGUGUCGGUGGUGAAAGCCCCGGGCUUAACCUGGGAAUGGCCAUGGAAACUGGCGAACUGGAGUGUGGCAGAGGGGGGUGGAAUUCCUGGUGUAGCGGUGAAAUGCGCAGAUAUCAGGAGGAACACCGAUGGCGAAGGCAGCUCGCUGGGACGGUACUGACGCUGAGGCGCGAAAGCGUGGGGAGCAAACAGG
RNAcentral lists this ribosomal RNA (253 nucleotides) under uncultured bacterium. RNAcentral describes it as "partial 16S ribosomal RNA". It matches the Rfam family "Bacterial small subunit ribosomal RNA", at positions 524 to 776 of the family's 1533-position model. The record is from RNAcentral.